This 227-nucleotide long non-coding RNA is filed under the name Elaeis guineensis (African oil palm). RNAcentral describes it as "long non-coding RNA (EGUI_LNC052880)". Lineage: Eukaryota; Viridiplantae; Streptophyta; Magnoliopsida; Arecales; Arecaceae. The record is from RNAcentral.
GGCGGGAUUGGUUCCUGCAUGAUCAUUUGAGAGAAAGGAGGGUCAGUGCAGAUGUCCUCACCGUAAGCAGUGGGAGCACAGUGGAGCUCUUCGAUCCGCUGGUUCAUCUCCUGAAAUCUCUGAUCCAGGAGGUCCUCUCGAUCGUGGGCCUCGAGGGUCUUCUAGUGGAGCAGAGGCAGGGACUCUCUGGGGGUUGAAUCAUGAUCGGACGGAGGACUCUCCGCCUU